RNAcentral lists this ribosomal RNA (253 nucleotides) under uncultured bacterium. Its description in RNAcentral is "partial 16S ribosomal RNA". It matches the Rfam family "Bacterial small subunit ribosomal RNA", at positions 524 to 776 of the family's 1533-position model. The record is from RNAcentral.
CACGUAGGGUCCGAGCGUUGUCCGGAAUUACUGGGCGUAAAGCGCGCGCAGGCGGUUUGGCGCAUCGGCGGUGAAAGCCCCCCGCUUAACGGGGGAGGGUCCGUCGCGAUGGCCAGACUGGAGGCAGGGAGAGGGCGGUGGAAUUCCGGGUGUAGUGGUGAAAUGCGUAGAGAUCCGGAGGAACACCAGUGGCGAAGGCGGCCGCCUGGACCUGACCUGACGCUGAGGCGCGAAGGCGCGGGGAGCGAACGGG